Ailuropoda melanoleuca (giant panda) is the source of this 73-nucleotide non-coding RNA. The record is from Rfam. NCBI's taxonomy places the organism in Eukaryota, Metazoa, Chordata, Mammalia, Carnivora, Ursidae.
GCCUGGCUGGCUCAGUCAGUGAAGCGUGCGACUCUUGAUCUCGGGAUUGUGGGUUCGAGCCCCAUGUUGGGUG